This 448-nucleotide long non-coding RNA is filed under the name Ananas comosus (pineapple). RNAcentral's name for it is "long non-coding RNA (ACOM_LNC017959)". The record is from RNAcentral. Lineage: Eukaryota; Viridiplantae; Streptophyta; Magnoliopsida; Poales; Bromeliaceae.
AAAUUACAAAAAACACCCUUAUACUUUACAGUUGCUCAAUUUUUCCCCGUUUAAAAAUUUUAUCAAUUAUCAUCCUAUACUUUACUUUUAUCUCAAAUAGGUACAGUCCGUAAAUUUGGAAUGCUUAGUAAAUUAGAUUGUAAAACUUCACCAAAAUAAGUUCGCAUAUCAUAUUAUUCCAUUUUUCAACAUCUAUCUAAUUUUUAAUUAAACAAAUCAAUAAAAAAUUAAAAAGACUUAUUAUUUUGUUAAUACUAUCAAAAUUAAUAGGCCAAUUUAUAUAAAAAAAUUUACUAGUUGGAAAAGUCUUCCUGUACUCCUAUAGGAAGGUGUAUAUCCUACAACUAUCAGAUCCAAUGGCUGAUAUUAACCCACUAGCACAGUAGCUUCUAACCUCACACAUUUUUUACUUCUUGCUAAAGCUAACUUAAAUUAAACCCUACUACAC